CCAAUGUUGACAACCAGGUAUAUCUGGCUUUUGUCAGCAUAUGCUUGGCUCUGUCUUUGUGGCGUAUGGGAGCUGAAUGUCUCACGAGGACUUGAUGCAUAUUCCCGUUCCACAGCAUUGGAUAUCAACCCAGGCCUGGACUGCUCUGUACAGGACUGGACCCCAUAUAUUCCAUCACUUUCUCAUAGCUACUAUGUGGCAAUUACUGAGGAAGAAGACCAUAUGGGGAACAAAC
Molecule: small nucleolar RNA, 235 nt
Organism: Mytilus californianus (California mussel)
Lineage: Eukaryota; Metazoa; Mollusca; Bivalvia; Mytilida; Mytilidae
Product: small nucleolar RNA SNORA73 family
Exons: 1
Source: RefSeq, a predicted model, not a curated record